GACUAACGCUGGCGGUAUGCCUUAGACAUGCAAGUCGAACGAGUUUCCGGGCUUGCUCGGAAAUUAGUGGCGAACGGCUGAGUAACGCGUAGGUGACCUACCCCGUAGUGUGGAAUAACUGCCCGAGAGGGUAGCUAAUACCGCAUGUUGAGCCGACAUCAAUGUCGUCUCCAAAGCAGAAAUGCGCUAUGGGCGGGGCCUGCGUUCGAUUAGCUAGUUGGUGGGGUAAUGGCUCACCAAGGCGACGAUCGGUAGGUGGUCUGAGAGGACGAUCACCCAGACUGGGACUGAGACACGGCCCAGACUCCUACGGGAGGCAGCAGUCGGGAAUUUUGGACAAUGGGGGCAACCCUGAUCCAGCAAUGCCGCGUGCAGGAUGAAGGCCUUCGGGUUGUAAACUGCUUUUGUACGGAACGAAACGGCGAGCUCUAAUACAGUUUGCUAAUGACGGUACCGUAAGAAUAAGCACCGGCUAACUACGUGCCAGCAGCCGCGGUAA
RNAcentral lists this ribosomal RNA (499 nucleotides) under uncultured bacterium. Its description in RNAcentral is "partial 16S ribosomal RNA". It matches the Rfam family "Bacterial small subunit ribosomal RNA", at positions 28 to 523 of the family's 1533-position model. The record is from RNAcentral.